UUCCAGACUCCUACGGGAGGCAGCAGUGGGGAAUAUUGCACAAUGGGGGAAACCCUGAUGCAGCGACGCCGCGUGAGUGAAGAAGUAUUUCGGUAUGUAAAGCUCUAUCAGCAGGGAAGAAAAUGACGGUACCUGACUAAGAAGCCCCGGCUAACUACGUGCCAGCAGCCGCGGUAAUACGUAGGGGGCAAGCGUUAUCCGGAUUUACUGGGUGUAAAGGGAGCGUAGACGGCGAUGCAAGCCAGAUGUGAAAGCCCGGGGCUCAACCCCGGGACUGCAUUUGGAACUGUGUGGCUGGAGUGUCGGAGAGGCAGGCGGAAUUCCUAGUGUAGCGGUGAAAUGCGUAGAUAUUAGGAGGAAUACCAGUGGCGAAGGCGGCUUACUGGACUGUAACUGACGUUGAGGCUCGAAAGCGUGGGGAGCAAACAGGAUUAGAUACCCCAGUAC
RNAcentral lists this ribosomal RNA (447 nucleotides) under uncultured bacterium. RNAcentral describes it as "bacterial SSU rRNA". It matches the Rfam family "Bacterial small subunit ribosomal RNA", at positions 329 to 793 of the family's 1533-position model. The record is from RNAcentral.